Molecule: long non-coding RNA, 854 nt
Organism: Bos taurus (domestic cattle)
Lineage: Eukaryota; Metazoa; Chordata; Mammalia; Artiodactyla; Bovidae
Source: Ensembl
AAAGGAAAUCAGUCCUGAAUAUUCAUUGGAAGGACUGAUGCUGAAACUGAAGUUCCAAUACUCUGGCCACUUGAUGCAAAGAACUGACUCAGUGGAAAAGACCUUGAUGCUGGGAAUGAUUGAAGGCGGGAAGAGAAGGGGAUGACAGAGGAUGAGAUGUUUGGAUGGUAUCACCGACUUGAUGGACAUGAGUUUGAGCAAGAUCCAGGAACUGGUGAUGGAUAGGGAGACCUGGUGUGCUGCAGUCUAUGGGGUGGCAGAGUCGGAAACACCUGAGUAACCAAACUGAACUGAACUGAACUGAAGGGGAAGCCCAAAGAAAUUGAGCAACUUGCCCAGACUCAUAUACUCAGUCAUCCAGCUGGAACUAGAACUUGGAUCUUCCCAAUUCAUUUUGGUAUCAGAAGAGAGAAUCAAAGAAGACUCCCCCCACCCACCCAUCAGGAGAAGCCCCUCAGGAGCAAAGAGUAACCAGACAGGUAUGCUUGGAGCCGCUUGACCUGCCAACUUUCUUAGAGCCCUUGGAGGUGGUGGUUUCUGGUGACCAGGACUACACCCCUAGGACAGCCUACUUGCUCCAGAACCUGCAGACGGGAUCCUGGGGAAAUUGGCAGAAGCCUGCAAAGGAGGAGAAUUCUUACCCAAGUCAACUUGCCUAAAUCUCUAUCUGUCAUGCCAGGUGAAGAGAGAAGCUGAGAUUCUGUGAACUCAGUCAAUCCUAAAGGAAAUCAACCCUGGAUAUUCAUUGGAAGGACUGAUGCUGAGGCUGAAAGUCCAACACUUUGGCCACCUGAUGCAAAGAGCCACCCAGACCACGAUGCUGGGAAAGACUGAGGGCAAGAGGAGAAGAGGAC